ACGAACGCUGGCGGCGUGCUUCACACAUGCCAGUCGAACGGAAAGGCCCUGCUUUUGUGGGGUGCUCGAGUGGCGAACGGGUGAGUAACACGUGAGUAACCUGCCCUUGACUUUGGGAUAACUUCAGGAAACUGGGGCUAAUACCGGAUAGGAGCUCCUGCUGCAUGGUGGGGGUUGGAAAGUUUCGGCGGUUGGGGAUGGACUCGCGGCUUAUCAGCUUGUUGGUGGGGUAGUGGCUUAUCAAGGCUUUGACGGGUAGCCGGCCUGAGAGGGUGACCGGCCACAUUGGGACUGAGAUACGGCCCAGACUCCUACGGGAGGCAGCAGUGGGGAAUAUUGCACAAUGGGCGGAAGCCUGAUGCAGCAACGCCGCGUGCGGGAUGACGGCCUUCGGGUUGUAAACCGCUUUCGCCUGUGACGAAGCGUGAGUGACGGUAAUGGGUAAAGAAGCACCGGCUAACUACGUG
RNAcentral lists this ribosomal RNA (467 nucleotides) under uncultured bacterium. RNAcentral's name for it is "partial 16S ribosomal RNA". It matches the Rfam family "Bacterial small subunit ribosomal RNA", at positions 29 to 507 of the family's 1533-position model. The record is from RNAcentral.